AACCAGCACCUCAAGUGGUCAGGAGGAUUAUUGGGCCUAAAGCAUCCGUAGCCUGCUCUAUAAGUUUUCGGUUAAAUCUAUACGCUUAACGCAUAGGCUGCUGGGAAUACUGUAGAGCUAGGGAGUGGGAGAGGUAGACGGUACUCGGUAGGAAGGGGUAAAAUCCUUUGAUCUAUUGAUGACCACCUGUGGCGAAGGCGGUCUACCAGAACACGUUCGACGGUGAGGGAUGAAAGCUGGAGGAGCAAACCGG
RNAcentral lists this ribosomal RNA (253 nucleotides) under uncultured archaeon. Its description in RNAcentral is "partial 16S ribosomal RNA". It matches the Rfam family "Archaeal small subunit ribosomal RNA", at positions 474 to 727 of the family's 1478-position model. The record is from RNAcentral.